This 1031-nucleotide long non-coding RNA is filed under the name Sorghum bicolor (sorghum). RNAcentral describes it as "long non-coding RNA (SBIC_LNC018062)". The record is from RNAcentral. Lineage: Eukaryota; Viridiplantae; Streptophyta; Magnoliopsida; Poales; Poaceae.
CCUGAAGAAUGGCCACUCGUUGUACAUCUCCUUGAGCUUCUGGAAGUUCUUGAUGUCCUUGUCGAUGGCCCACUUGAAGGCGGCGCCGACUCCCAGCCACACGGGGAGGUGGAACCUCGUCUGUGUCCACGAGAAGAUCCAGGGGAUGGCACGCAGGGUGGUGAUGCCGCCGCCCGGCUUCCUCUUGGCUGGCCUGCUGCCGAUGUUCAUCUUCCCGUACUCAGUCUCAGGGGUAGCCUGACAGAGAAAGACAGACGAAUGAAUUAUAACGACGACAUGGAUGAAUGAAUUCGAUUAUUCGAUCGAUCUUCACCAAACAUCAAACAAAUAUAUGAUGGCAUACCGAUCUGAAGUACUCGACGAAUCGCGGCUCCUUGACGACGACGGAGCGGUACUCCUCCGUGGCGACGACGGCCAUCUCCUCCAUGAGCUUGCGCCACUCGGGCUUGGGAGACACCGGCGGGUGCAUGCCGUGCUCCAGCGUGGCGGCCGUGAACCGCUGCAGAGACUGGAAGCACAGGUUCUCCUCCCCGAACAUGAACUCGAUGACCUCGCCCUGCACCGUCACACGGAUGGACCCGUUGAUGGUGUCCGGCGGCUGGGACAGGAUGGCGAGGUGCGUCGGGCCACCGCCCCUGCCGACGGUGCCACCGCGGCCGUGGAACAAGGUCAGCUUCACGCCGUACUUCUUGGCCACCUUGGCCAUCUCCUCCUGCGCCACGUACAGCUGCCACGCCGCGGACAGGCGGCCGGCGUCCUUGCCGGAGUCGGAGUAGCCGACCAUCACCUGCUGCUUGCCGUUGAUGUGGUUGAUGUACCAGUCAGUGGAGAAGAGCUUCUCCACGGACGCCGGCGCCGCCUGCAGGUCGGCCAGCCUCUCGAACAGCGGCACCACGGGGAGCGUCUGGCGAAUGCCACACUCGCGCUGCAGGAGCUCGACGGCGAGCACGUCCGAGGGCGCCGUGCACAUGGAGAUGAUGUAGGGGCCGAAGCUGUCGAUCGGGAGCUCGGCCAGGACGCGCAUGGCGCCG